CAGAUUCUAAAGUGAUACUACAACACAUCAAUUCCAGGACUGACUUAAAUUCCAAGGAGCAGCUUGUUCAGUCUCAGAUUAGUUUGUAUGCUCAGGCUUGUGAUAACCUAAAAUCUAAAUUCUCCAACUUAAUUAUACUAGUCUUCGAUACACAUAAUGUCAUUUUGGCAUAACACUGUACACUCACCAAAAAGGAAUGGGAGUUGCUCAUUUACUUACAAGGAAAUCACCACAAUAUUUCACAACCCUUUUCAAAAUUUUCUUGACAGAUUAGGUCUAUAACAUCACAUAGCUAUCCAAAAAGGAACAGAAG
This 313-nucleotide unclassified non-coding RNA is filed under the name Hevea brasiliensis (rubber tree). The record is from RNAcentral. Lineage: Eukaryota; Viridiplantae; Streptophyta; Magnoliopsida; Malpighiales; Euphorbiaceae.